Molecule: long non-coding RNA, 423 nt
Organism: Passer domesticus (house sparrow)
Lineage: Eukaryota; Metazoa; Chordata; Aves; Passeriformes; Passeridae
Exons: 4
Source: RefSeq, a predicted model, not a curated record
CGGGGCACAGUUUCACCUCCAUGGCGCCUGCCUCUCCUCUCUCACGCUCCUGAGCCUCCGGAGGGACAGUAAACACAGCCCCAGCUACAUGGGUUUCGGCGGCGCGGAGUUUCCCUGUCCUUCCCCGCGAAGCUGACACUUUCCCCAGCAACUUGUUGCCCUCCGCGCCCAAGAGAGAGCAAAGUGUGCAAUGCACAACUGCGGAGCGGCUGGACUCGGUCCAGAGGGUACUUCGCGCUCCUGCAUUUUCAUCCCGACUCCGUGUGAGAGUUGAGGGAGACGACAGAAGGAUUUGCCACCGUCUUGGGAAGUCAGCACGAGAACAGCCGUCAGCAGGCAACAAUGAACUGGAGAAGGUCUCGCUGUGGAUCCGGAUCCAACCUGUUGGAGGCAAAUAACCAUCCGCAUCAUGCCCGGCCGGGG